RNAcentral lists this ribosomal RNA (255 nucleotides) under uncultured bacterium. RNAcentral's name for it is "partial 16S ribosomal RNA". It matches the Rfam family "Bacterial small subunit ribosomal RNA", at positions 524 to 775 of the family's 1533-position model. The record is from RNAcentral.
GACGAACCGAGCAAACGUUAUUCGGAAUCACUGGGCUUAAAGGGUGCGUAGGUGGCGAGGCAAGUCUGGUGUGAAAAUCCCGGGGCUCAACCCCGGAACUGCACUGGAUACUGCUUUGCUAGAGUACUGGAGAGGAGAUUGGAAUUUACGGUGUAGCAGUGAAAUGCGUAGAUAUCGUAAGGAAGACCAGUGGCGAAGGCGAAUCUCUGGACAGUUACUGACCACUGAGGCACGAAGGCCAGGGGACGCAAACGG